AACGCGAAGAACCUUACCAAGGUUUGACAUGCAGGGAAAAGCCGUAGAGAUAUGGUGUCCGUAAGGGUCCUGCACAGGUGGUGCAUGGCUGUCGUCAGCUCGUGUCGUGAGAUGUUGGGUUAAGUCCCGCAACGAGCGCAACCCUCGUCCUAUGUUGCCAGCGGAUAAUGCCGGGGACUCAUGGGAGACUGCCGGGGUCAACUCGGAGGAAGGUGGGGAUGACGUCAAGUCAUCAUGCCCCUUAUGUCUUGGGCUGCAAACAUGCUACAAUGGCCGGUACAGAGCGCUGCGAGCCCGUGAGGGUGAGCGAAUCGCGGAAAGCCGGUCUCAGUUCGGAUCGGGGUCUGCAACUCGGCCCCGUGAAGCCGGAGUCGCUAGUAAUCGCGGAUCAGCAACGCCGCGGUGAAUACGUUCCCGGGCCUUGUACACACCGGAGUA
RNAcentral lists this ribosomal RNA (438 nucleotides) under uncultured bacterium. RNAcentral describes it as "bacterial SSU rRNA". It matches the Rfam family "Bacterial small subunit ribosomal RNA", at positions 958 to 1398 of the family's 1533-position model. The record is from RNAcentral.